Molecule: ribosomal RNA, 1374 nt
Filed under: uncultured bacterium
Lineage: Bacteria
Description: bacterial SSU rRNA
Rfam family: Bacterial small subunit ribosomal RNA
Source: RNAcentral
AGAGUUUGAUCCUGGCUCAGGACGAACGCUGGCGGCGCGCCUAACACAUGCAAGUCGAACGGAGCUUAGAGAGCUUGCUUUUUAAGCUUAGUGGCGAACGGGUGAGUAACGCGUGAGUAACCUGCCCUGGAGUGGGGGACAACAGUUGGAAACGACUGCUAAUACCGCAUAAGCCCACGGUACCGCAUGGUACUGAGGGAAAAGGAUUUAUUCGCUUUAGGAUGGACUCGCGUCCAAUUAGCUAGUUGGUGAGGUAACGGCCCACCAAGGCGACGAUUGGUAGCCGGACUGAGAGGUUGAACGGCCACAUUGGGACUGAGACACGGCCCAGACUCCUACGGGAGGCAGCAGUGGGGGAUAUUGCACAAUGGGGGAAACCCUGAUGCAGCGACGCCGCGUGGAGGAAGAAGGUUUUCGGAUUGUAAACUCCUGUCUUAAGGGACGAAAAGAUGACGGUACCUUAGGAGGAAGCUCCGGCUAACUACGUGCCAGCAGCCGCGGUAAUACGUAGGGAGCGAGCGUUGUCCGGAAUUACUGGGUGUAAAGGGAGCGUAGGCGGGACAUCAAGUCAGAUGUGAAAACUAUGGGCUUAACCCAUAGACUGCAUUUGAAACUGUAGUUCUUGAGUGAAGUAGAGGUAAGCGGAAUUCCUGGUGUAGCGGUGAAAUGCGUAGAUAUCAGGAGGAACAUCAGUGGCGAAGGCGGCUUACUGGGCUUUUACUGACGCUGAGGCUCGAAAGCGUGGGGAGCAAACAGGAUUAGAUACCCUGGUAGUCCACGCUGUAAACGAUGAUUACUAGGUGUGGGGGGAUUGACCCCUUCCGUGCCGCAGUUAACACAAAUAAGUAAUCCACCUGGGGAGUACGGGCCGCAAGGCUGAAACUCAAAGGAAUUGACGGGGGCCCGCACAAGCAGUGGAGUAUGUGGUUUAAUUUGAAGCAACGCGAAGAACCUUACCAGGUCUUGACAUCCGAUGCAUAGCAUAGAGAUAUGUGAAAUCUUUCGGGACAUCGAGACAGGUGGUGCAUGGUUGUCGUCAGCUCGUGUCGUGAGAUGUUGGGUUAAGUCCCGCAACGAGCGCAACCCUUAUCAUUAGUUGCUACGCAAGAGCACUCUAAUGAGACUGCCGUUGACAAAACGGAGGAAGGUGGGGAUGACGUCAAAUCAUCAUGCCCCUUAUGACCUGGGCUACACACGUACUACAAUGGCAAUAAACAAAGAGAAGCGAGACCGCGAGGAGGAGCAAAUCUCAAAAAAUUGUCCCAGUUCAGAUUGCAGGCUGCAACUCGCCUGUAUGAAGUCGGAAUUGCUAGUAAUCGCAGAUCAGAAUGCUGCGGUGAAUACGUUCCCGGGCCUUGCACUCACCGCCCGUCA